UGUGAGCUAGUGUUACUACGCACAUGUAAAUUUGAGUUACAAAGAGGAAGUCAACAGCUCCGCCCACAA
RNAcentral lists this transfer RNA (69 nucleotides) under Pronodularia japanensis. RNAcentral describes it as "tRNA-Gln". The record is from RNAcentral. Lineage: Eukaryota; Metazoa; Mollusca; Bivalvia; Unionida; Unionidae.